Molecule: ribosomal RNA, 253 nt
Filed under: uncultured bacterium
Lineage: Bacteria
Description: partial 16S ribosomal RNA
Rfam family: Bacterial small subunit ribosomal RNA
Source: RNAcentral
UACGUAGGGGGCUAGCGUUGUCCGGAAUCAUUGGGCGUAAAGAGCGCGUAGGCGGCUAGAUAAGUCCGGUGUGAAAGUCACAGGCUCAACCUGUGAAUGCCGCUGGAAACUGUCUGGCUAGAGUCCGGAAGGGGCGAGUGGAAUUCCUGGUGUAGCGGUGAAAUGCGCAGAUAUCAGGAGGAACACCAAUGGCGAAGGCGGCGAUCUGGGUCGAUACUGACGCUGAGGUGCGAAAGCGUGGGGAGCAAACAGG